This 565-nucleotide long non-coding RNA is filed under the name Gallus gallus (chicken). The record is from RNAcentral. Lineage: Eukaryota; Metazoa; Chordata; Aves; Galliformes; Phasianidae.
GUGGCCGUGCACUCCUUCACCAUCACCUCGUUCUCUUCGCAGAUGGUGCAGGGAAGGCAGGGAUCCACGAAAUUGGCCUCAUCCGAGAAGGUGCCCUCGGGGCACUCCUCACAGACCGUGUCCUGUGAGUCCCGGCAGGGGAACAUGAGGCCAAAGCCCACCUCACAGAUGCUGCACUCCUUGCAGCUCCCGCUCAGCUCAUCCUGGAAGUAGCCGUAGGCGCAGCGGCACACGGCGUCGUCAGACUCCACGCAGGGUGCAGACAUGCUGUGCAGCCCCACGCACUGUGUGCAGGGCUUGCACGGUUCUGUGGCACUCACUGUGUCCGAGUAGGUCACACUGUCCAGGCAGGGCUCGCAGACGGUCUGGUUGACCCCGCAGGGCUGCACCACGCCCUCACCCAGGUUGCAGGCUUUGCAGCACUCACCGCUCGUCGUGUACAUCUUGGUCAAGCACUUCUCCUUGGAGCCCCAGGUGGGUCCCGCCGGCAGCAGGAGCAGCAGCAGCGGUACGAACCCGGCCAUGGUGCGCCGGGGCCGCCUCGCAUCCCCCGGGCUGCCCUCCC